RNAcentral lists this ribosomal RNA (1664 nucleotides) under human gut metagenome. Its description in RNAcentral is "bacterial LSU rRNA". It matches the Rfam family "Bacterial large subunit ribosomal RNA", at positions 832 to 2512 of the family's 2925-position model. The record is from RNAcentral.
AUCGAACCCGGAGAUAGCUGGUUCUCCUCGAAAUAGCUUUAGGGCUAGCCUCAUGGAUCAUUGGUGGGGGUAGAGCACUGAAUGUGCGCGGGGGCCACAAAGCCUACCAAACGCUAUCAAACUUCGAAUACCAUACAAUGCAGACCAUGGGAGUCAGUCCGCGAGAGAUAAGUUCCGCGGGCAAAAGGGGAACACCCCAGAUCAACCGCUAAGGUCCCCAAGUUCACGUUAAGUGGAGAAGGAUGUGGAAUUGCACAGACAACCAGGAUGUUGGCUCAGAAGCAGCCACACAUUUAAAGAGUGCGUAAUAGCUCACUGGUCGAGUGAUUGUGCGCCGAAGAUGUCCGGGGCUAAACGUGACACCGAAGCGAUGGGUGCAUCUGAAAGGAUGCGCGGUAGAGGAGCAAUGUGCAGAGGCAGAAGCCGUAUCGAGAGGCACGGUGGACACUGCACAAGAGAGAAUGCCGGUAUGAGUAGCGAGAGGCAUGCGAGAAACAUGCCCGUCGAAAGCCCAAGGUUUCCUGGGGAAGGUUCAUCCGCCCAGGGUAAGUCGGGGCCUAAGCCGAGGACGGAAGUCGUAGGCGAUGGACAGCAGGUGUAGAUUCCUGCACUACCGAUGGAAUGAAGCAGUGACACAGAAGGAUAACUCGAGCAGGGUGAUGGUCAACCCUGUGCAAGCAUCAAGGUUGGGUUGUAGUGAAGUACGCAACCCUAUAAGCUGAGGUGUGAUGCGGACCGAAAUUUCAGUAGGGAAGCGAGUGAGUUCACGCUGGCGAGAAAAGCUGCUAGUACAUCCAAAGGUACCCGUACCGGAAACCGACGCAGGUGGGCGAGGAGAGAAUCCUGAGACGAACGGGAGAACCCUUGUUAAGGAACUCGGCAAAAUGACCCCGUAACUUCGGGAUAAGGGGUGCCUGCGAGAGCAGGCCGCAGAGAAUAGUCACAAGCGACUGUUUAGCAAAAACACAGGUAUCUGCGAAAGCGAGAGCUGACGUAUAGGUGCUGACACCUGCCCGGUGCUGGAAGGUUAAGGGAACAUGUUAGAGCAAUCGAAGCAUCGAACCGAAGCCCCAGUAAACGGCGGCCGUAACUAUAACGGUCCUAAGGUAGCGAAAUUCCUUGUCGGGUAAGUUCCGACCCGCACGAAUGGUGUAACGACUUGUGAGCUGUCUCAACAGGGGGCCCGGUGAAAUUGAAGUAUGGGUGAAGAUGCCCAUUACCCGCGACUGGACGGAAAGACCCCGUAGAGCUUUACUGCAGCCUGAUAUUGAGUUUCGGUAAUUGAUGCACAGGAUAGGUGGGAGUCUGAGAGACACGGGUUUCGGCUCGUGUGGAGACGAUGUUGGGAUACCACUCUUCGGUUACUGAAAUUCUAACAUAGCUCUGUGAAACCAGAGGAUGGACAGUGUCAGGUGGACAGUUUGACUGGGGCGGUCGCCUCCGAAAGAGUAACGGAGGCGCCCAAAGGUACCCUCAGAAUGGAUGGAAACCAUUCGAAGAGCGCAAAGGCAGAAGGGUGCCUGACUGCGAGAGUGACAACUCGAGCAGAGACGAAAGUCGGGCUUAGUGAUCCGGCGGUAUUGAGUGGAAAAGCCGUCGCUUAACGGAUAAAAGCUACCUCGGGGAUAACAGGCUGAUCUCCCCCAAGAGUCCACAUCGACGGG